This 451-nucleotide ribosomal RNA is filed under the name uncultured bacterium. RNAcentral describes it as "bacterial SSU rRNA". It matches the Rfam family "Bacterial small subunit ribosomal RNA", at positions 29 to 523 of the family's 1533-position model. The record is from RNAcentral.
AACGAACGCUGGCGGCAUGCCUAACACAUGCAAGUCGAACGCCUGUAGCAAUACAGGAGUGGCGCACGGGUGAGUAACGCGUGGGAACCUGCCUAGUGGUAAGGAAUAACCGCGGGAAACUGCGGCUAAUACCUUAUGAGCCCUACGGGGGAAAGAUUUAUCGCCAUUAGAGGGGCCCCGCGUCCGAUUAGCUAGUUGGUGAGGUAACGGCUCACCAAGGCUCCGAUCGGUAGCCGGUCUGAGAGGAUGAUCAGCCACACUGGGACUGAGACACGGCCCAGACUCCUACGGGAGGCAGCAGUGGGGAGUAUUGGACAAUGGGGGCAACCCUGAUCCAGCAAUGCCGCGUGAGUGAUGAAGGCCUUAGGGUUGUAAGCUCUUUCGACGGGGAAGAUGAUGACGGUACCCGUAGAAGAAGCCCCGGCUAACUUCGUGCCAGCAGCCGCGGUAA